UACAGAGGGGGCAAGCGUUAUUCGGAAUUAUUGGGCGUAAAGGGCGCGUAGGCGGCCUGGCAAGUGGAAGGUGAAAUCCCUCGGCUUAACCGAGGAACUGCCUUCCAAACUGCUUGGCUUGAGUCCGGGAGAGGUGAGUGGAAUUCCCAGUGUAGCGGUGAAAUGCGUAAUAUUGGGAGGAACACCAGUGGCGAAGGCGGCUC
RNAcentral lists this ribosomal RNA (203 nucleotides) under uncultured bacterium. Its description in RNAcentral is "partial 16S ribosomal RNA". It matches the Rfam family "Bacterial small subunit ribosomal RNA", at positions 524 to 727 of the family's 1533-position model. The record is from RNAcentral.